Molecule: ribosomal RNA, 468 nt
Filed under: uncultured bacterium
Lineage: Bacteria
Description: partial 16S ribosomal RNA
Rfam family: Bacterial small subunit ribosomal RNA
Source: RNAcentral
GACGAACGCUGGCGGCGUGCUUAACACAUGCAAGUCGAACGGAAAGGCCCUGCUUUUGUGGGGUGCUCGAGUGGCGAACGGGUGAGUAACACGUGAGUAACCUGCCCUUGACUUUGGGAUAACUUCAGGAAACUGGGGCUAAUACCGGAUAGGAGCUCCUGCUGCAUGGUGGGGGUUGGAAAGUUUCGGCGGUUGGGGAUGGACUCGCGGCUUAUCAGCUUGUUGGUGGGGUAGUGGCUUACCAAGGCUUUGACGGGUAGCCGGCCUGAGAGGGUGACCGGCCACAUUGGGACUGAGAUACGGCCCAGACUCCUACGGGAGGCAGCAGUGGGGAAUAUUGCACAAUGGGCAGAAGCCUGAUGCAGCAACGCCGCGUGCGGGAUGACGGCCUUCGGGUUGUAAACCGCUUUCGCCUGUGACGAAGCGUGCGUGACGGUAAUGGGUAAAGAAGCACCGGCUAACUACGUG